GAUGAACGCUAGCGGCAGGCUUAAUACAUGCAAGUCGAGGGGCAGCAGGGGUGUAGCAAUACACUCGCUGGCGACCGGCAAACGGGUGCGGAACACGUACGCAACUUACCCAUAACUGGGGGAUAGCCCGGGGAAACCCGGCUUAAUACCUCGUAACAUAGUUGAGUGGCAUCCCUUAACCAUUAUAGCUCCGGCGGUUAUGGAUGGGCGUGCGCCUGAUUAGGUAGUUGGCGGGGUAACGGCCCACCAAGCCUGCGAUCAGUAACUGGUGUGAAAGCACGGCCAGGGUGACGGGCACGGGGCCACGGGCCCGAGUCCUGCGGGAGGCAGCAGUAAGGAAUAUUGAUCAAUGGACGCAAGUCGGACCCAGCCAUGCCGCGUGAAGGAUGCAGGUCCUCUGGAUUUUAAACUUCUUUUAUAUGGGACGAAACCCGGGCAUUCCUGCCCGAUUGACGGUACCAUAGGAAUAAGCACCGGCUAACUCCGUGCCAGCAGCCGCGGUAA
This 504-nucleotide ribosomal RNA is filed under the name uncultured bacterium. RNAcentral describes it as "partial 16S ribosomal RNA". It matches the Rfam family "Bacterial small subunit ribosomal RNA", at positions 28 to 523 of the family's 1533-position model. The record is from RNAcentral.